RNA transcript from Labeo rohita (rohu), 6071 nucleotides. It is a transcript of the gene named sterile alpha motif domain containing 12, with no coding region annotated. The record is from RefSeq and is a predicted model, not a curated record. NCBI's taxonomy places the organism in Eukaryota, Metazoa, Chordata, Actinopteri, Cypriniformes, Cyprinidae. The transcript is spliced from 6 exons.
UUCACAUCUCGCCGCGGAACACCACUGAGAGCAACAGAACACAACACACCAUGUUCCUACUCCGAAUGAAUCAUUUUAAUGUUUAGAAAUCGUAUUUUGUGCUACUCUUUCACGUAGGUCAUUGAGAUGCGAUGCGUUCUUCAUUGAGGAGAAGCGGACUGGCGCGAACGCGUUAUUAUUAAUCAGCUUUCAUAAGGCGGUCGAGCUGGACGCUUCUGUUAGACAGGUGUUCCGUUUGUGUUUCGACCACCUGCUCUGGUACCAUGAUGUUAGGGCAGUCUCCACACCUUAUCGGGGGAAUCCUCUGGAUUCAAAACCCAAUGCGAGCUGUUCACUGCAAUCUGACCCAGAAUGGCAUCGACCAUCAGGUGUGCACAGAAGAUGUGACCUCACACCUGGAGGAAGUGUCUGUUGAUCAUGGACUGGAUGAUGACAGCCCAGGCUUUCAGGACCAGAGUCCUGGUUUCCAGCGACGGUCUCCACCUCAGCGCUCUGUCUCAGAGUCGGAGCUCUCCAGGCCGGGAAUUGUGAAGCUGUCCAAACCAGUGGCGCUGUGGAGCCAGCAGGACGUGUGUAAAUGGCUGAAGAAACACUGUCCCAAUCAACACCAAGUCUACAGUGACUCUUUCAAGCAGCACGACAUCACAGGUCGUGCUCUGAUGAGGCUCACUGACAGAAAGUUGGAGCGUAUGGGCAUCAUGCAGGAGAGUCAAAGACAGUACAUCUUACAGCAGGUCCUCCAGCUCCGCGUCAGAGAAGAGGUCCGCACUCUGCAGCUGCUCACGCAAGAGCGUUUGGACCCAGAAGUCACGGAAGAGGUGACGCUUGACGUCAGACUUAACAAGCAAAUUAGACAUUGUUAACGAGGCUGAUUGGAAUGAAACUCGGUGGGCCUAUUUGACUCUCAGCCCCAAAGCCUCUCUGGAGAGUUCACCAUAACUUGAGCAUUCCUGGAGGUUCUCCGUUCCUUGUCCAUCUUCUCCGACGCCCCACAGCACAUAACAGACUGCGGUCUUCCUUCAGUCCACUUCUCUCAAAACUCUCCAGAUCUAGACCCUUCCUCUGAACAAAACUGUCCUAAAAAUGGAUCCAGCUGAUCUUCGGUAGCUCUUUACAGCAUAUCAGUUCCAAAUCGCCUGAACUACUGAUGUUCUCUUUUGGACAAUGUGAAAGACUUGCUGCUGAAUUAUCUUGUUCGUUGUAUGUAAUUCUGAAGUGUAGCACUUUAACCUCUUUCUUCCUGCCAGUGCUUAGCACUCAGCCUGUUAGCAUGACAUUCUACAACACGCACUGGACUUCCUGCAAUGGUACAAAAGAACAGUAUCUAUCUAUCUGUCUAUCUAUCUAUCUAUCUAUCUAUCUAUCUAUCUAUCUAUCUAUCUAUCUAUCUAUCUAGGUAGCUAUCUGGCUAACUAGCCAUCUAUACAGAUAGCUCUGUAGCUAAUUAGCUAUCUGUAUAGCUAACUUGUUUAUCUAGCUAGUUAUGUGUUGUUGUAGCUUAUUAGCUAUUAUUAGCUAGGUAAACAAGCUGUCUAGCUAGCUUUCUAGCUGUCUCUUCACCUGUAAACAGUCGAACAAAAUAGCAACAUGUGGACUCCACCCUUUGCACGUCUAAAUAUUACUCGUCUUUUCCUCUCUCCUGUGUCUGCCGUCUCUUAGUAUAAUGUGAACCGUCUGGUCGGCUUGCUUGGUUAGUCGUCUCUUUGUCUUUGUAUGUCCCGAAGCUUGAAUUCCCUCACCAUCCAUCAAAAGCAAGAUCCCGUUAUACGUAUCCCAUAGACUGAACUGCACUGUGACUGUGACCAGGUCUCUUAAAAAGACAAGCCCACCCUUUCACAGGGAGCUGCGUUCCACCCCAAAUCCUUCUUUCAUCGCCGGACCAAAUGCAUUAUACUCUCAUCUCUUGAUCCGGAGCCAAUCUUGAGGUUCGGCUCAUGGUGGAAUUCAAUUAGAAGGCAGGAUGAAGCAACUGAGCUCGGAGCUGUGAAACUGCAAAGAAUCAGAAAUGGGAGACGAUUCUUCUCUUUUUUUGGUUAUGGAGGCAGGAGAAAGAAGGGGAAAAAUAGAUGACAUGCCUCUCUGAAGUCUCAUCCUGCCAUUGGGAGAGACAAGGCAAGGAAGGGAAUGUACUUUUAGGCGUUAUUAAAAAGUGUAUGAACCAGACAGAGCAUUAUUUUGGAGAAGAGAGGACGCAAGAUGCUUGUCACUAGGAGCCUUGAACUUCCCUUUCGCUGUAUCUUUUUGAAUAGAGAUCCUCACAAAGGCAUCACUGUUAAUAUGACAUGGCCAUUCACUGUUACCUUUUUAACUCGGAAGCACAUGGAAGUACUGAAUCAAAUGAACUGUCUUUGUACCCUUUGAUCAUUGUCACCUUUGUAUCAAACCUCCAUUAGUUACAAGAGCCUCAGGCAUCAACAAGGCUUCUCACCACAAAGUUGUAGCAUGACUCCGCAAUAUUGCACACCUUCCACAAAGGCGGCUACACGGUCGCCGAUAAAGGUCCAUGACAGCGCAGACCCGCCAUUGAUUAACCGGAGCGCCUCCGAGUUGUUUCGAGGGCUACAGUAAUAGGUUACAUGCUGCCGAUCGUGGCAUCCGGCCAUGCCUGUGAUGGAAGGUUUGCCUUACAAGAUGCUUUAGAUUGCAGUGAGAUCCAAAAAUUGAGUGGCAUCGAUUAGACCUUGUCGAUUAGAUCUCAUAUUGGCCCUUGUCUGGCUCACAGGAUGGAGUCAAUACUGGGAAUCUGGGGAAAAGCAUGUUCCAAUUAAAAACUAGCUACCAUUUCAUGCCUUUGUGGGGCCUUGGUGUUUUUUAUAGCUUAGAGAGGGCUCAACGCCAGGGGCUUUUGAUGACUGAGGGAACUUGUGAAGGGCUGAGAGGGUGAAAACCGAAAUGGUCAUUGGUUUUAUAGCUGCUAAACUAGUAUAGAUCUCACUAUAUAGAGAAUUUGUGGUUCCUUAGAGAGGAGUUUGUAAAAGGAAAUCACAUUUUUGCUCGAAAUGGGUUUGUCUUGGACGGCUUAGAUGAGCCAUAGUAGGAAGUGACAAACAUUACACAAGCAACUCUAAAUCAGCUCUAAAAGACACUGAGCGAGAGUUUGUGUUCUUUUCAUGUGGAUUAGAUUAUUAGAUGGCAAGAUGUUCACCCACGAGGGGUUUGUUUUUGAUUUGAACUUUAUGAGACCAUCUCAUGGUACAUUAACCGCAGAGUUCAAGUCAAUUCAAAUUGUUUAGCAAAAACUCAAUAGCAGCAUACUGUCGAUUCAGACUCUUAGUUCGCCUUAGGGCGUUUUUGUUAUUUUCUAAGAAAAGUGCAUAGGAAUUAUUUAAUUUUUUAAAGAUUAAAUUUUAUAGCCUAUACUAGAGAUGUACAAUAUACUAAAGUUGUGUUUGAUAAUCACAUAAAAAGAUACAUAGUACUUAUAUAUUAAAAAUAUACAUAACGUUCUUUGAUACGCACCAGGAUCAAAUAACAAUGAUUCAGGAGAGUCAUUCUCACGAGAGUCUUUAAAUAAAAAUAAUGGCCAUAGUGAAAAACAAAAAGGCAAACACUAAUGAACUUUUUUUUGAUCUUCAAGACGCUAGACCUUGGAAAAGCAAAUUCAUAAUAAUUAAUGCACAAAUGUGCAAGGAUAAUACAUGAAUAAACAUUCCCUCUGCUCUUUUAUUUGUUAGAUUUGCCUUUAGAUCCACACAGACUCCAACACUUCUUCACUCUUAAAAACGCUGGGUUAAAAACAACCCAACUUGGGUUAUUUGGCAGCCCAGCGCUGGGUAAAUAUUGGACAGUGUUUAUUUUGACCCAGCUGGUUGGGUUAAAUUUUUGUACUAAACAUGCUGGGUUAUUUUAUUUAAUCAACUAUUGUUUAAAAAUUAUAAUAUUGCUGGCUUAAAAUGUACUGGAACUUAUAAAAAACACAUAGAAUUACUAGAGGCAACAGCAAUAAUCAAAAGAUGAUGGACACAUCUACAAAAUACAAGACAAAUUGAAUUUACUUGGGUGAAUACAGCAUAGUUUACAAUAUUACAUACAUUUAAACUCAUUUAACAAGCAUUGAGACAUAAAAAAAAAAUUAACAUUUAAAAGUAGCAGUUUAAUUUUAGUGUAUCCAACCAUUUUCUGUAAUUGUUUUUCACCAAAAUGGCACUAAUUCUUGUGCCGAUAUGUCACUGAAAUCUGAGCCAGUGAAGGGCUGCUGUUCUCUGGGGUGACUGUGAACUUCUGACCGUGGCCUCGUGUUUCACUCAUAAUUGACUGACACCAAAACCUACCCAUAAACAAACAGUACUGACAUCUCGUCCUUGUAAAAUAAUGCAAUUUACAGCACAGUAAAGAUGUUAUAAAAGAAAUAAAAUGUAUACAAACCUUUCACUGAAGAAGUGCAACAAAUCAGCAGCCCUGAGAACCACUCUCUCCUGUAGAGGACUCAAAAAGCAAGAGGUCUGACUAUAACUCAGCAGCUGGGUUGUUUAGUCAGAGACAGGCUCAACCCAGCAUUUUUUUUGGUAGAAAAAAAUAACCCAGUCUUAAAAAUGACCCAGCAACUUAGUUACAGAAAUACUACGCAGCACCUGGGUAAAAAAUAUUUAAAAUAACCCAAUAAAAUGACCCAAGAAGUUGAACCCAGCAUUUGGGUUAAAAAAAAUAAAAAUAACCCAGCAUUUUUAGAGUGUUUAAAGAAUAGAAAAUGGCUUUUGCUAGAUAAGCAUCUCUGCCAGUGUAGUUCUAUCUGAUAUAAUAUAAAAACAUGUUAGAUUGGCAUACUUUCUCUGGAAAGUUGCACCUUUGACUGUGGAGCUGAAUUUAGUGGAUUAUUGAUGUCCACACAUGUACUGAUGUUCUUCAUGUUGGUUCUUUUUAUCAGCUCUGAACUAGAUUAAAGAGCUGGACGGCACACCUGCACAUAAAUCAAGUGAGCGUUAGCCUAACAACUGCACAAUAUACUCAUGGAUAUACUGAGGCUAUUUUCUUGCAUACACUAUAUUGUUGAUAUAUUGAUGUAUCCAUGCACACACUUAUACCACCACACCAAUAUAAAUGCAUACUGCUGUACACAUUAAAGGGGUAGUUCAACCAAAAAUGAAAAUUACCCCAUGAGUUACUCAGCCUCAAACCAUCCUAGGUGUAUAUGACUUUCUUCUCUCAGACAAAUACAAUUGAAGAUAUAUUAACAAAUCUACCAAGCUUUUAAGGCAGUGAAUGGGUGUUGAGAUUUUGAAGUCCAAUAAAGUGCAUCCAUCCAUCAUAAAAAGUACUCCAGCUUAAUAAAACCUUUCUGAAGCAAAUAAAAGCAUUUGUGUAAGAAUAAUAUCCAAAUUUAAAACUUAAUUUAAAAUCUCUAGCUUCCGCUAACUGUCGUACUCACGUAAACAAAAGAGUGGUGGCAGAGGAGAGAGCAAAACUAAACACCAGUUAUGAAUUAGAAGUACAAAAUGAGGAUUAGUAAAGAAAAAUGUCGGAGGAUUUCAAUAUUAGCCAAGAGGAGACUUGUUUUCCUGUGCUGUGAACAAAACUUGAUUCUCACGAGAUUAGCAUAUUCUCACCGGAGUUUAUGCUACGCCUCCAAGUUUUAAAUAUAGAUAUUUUUCUUACACAAAUGCAUCGAUUCACUUCAGAAAGCCUUAUUAACCCCCUGGAGCUGUGUGGAGUACUUUUUAUGAUGGAUGGAUGCACUUUAUUGGACUUUAAAAUCUCAACACUCAUUCACUGCUAUUAUAAAGCUUAGAAAAGCCAGGAUAUUUAUUUUUAUAUCUCCAACUGUGUUUGAAAGAAGAAAGUUGUAUACAACUAGGAUGGCUUAAGAGGGAGUAAAUCAUAGGUAAUUUUCAUUUUUGGGUGAACUAUCCCUUUAACAGUAUUUACACCCGUUAAACACUAUGAAAUACAAUUUUUGACACUAUGCGAGCAUGUUUUUAUUAUUGUGGUUAUUAAUUUCUGAUGUUUUGAAUUUGGAAGGCAUGCAGACCAAACUCUCAGAGUCCUUUCCUUUUCUCUAUCUCCAUAUAGUGUGCCUACUCAUUAAUUCAUGAAUAUGUUAAUAUUCUAAUAAACAUGUUAAUAUAACAAGGCCA